AGAGCGAACGCUGGCGGCAGGCCUAAAACAUGCAAGUCGAACGGACCCUUCGGGGUUAGUGGCGGACGGGUGAGUAACACGUGGGAACGUGCCUUUUGGUUCAGAACAACUCAGGGAAACUUGAGCUAAUACUGAAUAAGCCCUACGGGGGAAAGAUUUAUCGCCAUUAGAGCGGCCCGCGUUGGAUUAGCUAGUUGGUGAGGUAAAGGCUCACCAAGGCUACGAUCCAUAGCUGGUCUGAGAGGAUGAUCAGCCACACUGGGACUGAGACACGGCCCAGACUCCUACGGGAGGCAGCAGUUAGGAAUCUUGCGCAAUGGGCGAAAGCCUGACGCAGCCAUGCCGCGUGAAUGAUGAAGGUCUUAGGAUUGUAAAAUUCUUCAGCGGGGAAGAUAAUGACUGUACCCGCAGAAGAAGCUCCGGCUAACUCGCGCCAGCAGCCGC
This 444-nucleotide ribosomal RNA is filed under the name uncultured bacterium. Its description in RNAcentral is "SSU rRNA". It matches the Rfam family "Bacterial small subunit ribosomal RNA", at positions 26 to 518 of the family's 1533-position model. The record is from RNAcentral.